UUACCUGCUCAAUGAUUAAAUUUAAAUGGCCGCGGUAUUAUGACCGUGCAAAGGUAGCAUAAUCAUUAGUUUCUUAAUUGGAGACUGGAAUGAAUGGUUUGACGAGAAAUUGACUGUCUCUUAAUAAUUUUUAGAAUUUAACUUUUAAGUUAAAAGGCUUAAAUAUUUCUUUUGGACGAGAAGACCCUAUAGAGCUUUACAUUUAUAAAUUAAUUUUUAUUAUAUAGAUGAUUUCUUAAUAUUAAUUUGUUUUGUUUGGUUGGGGUGACUUGAAGAAUAAAUAAACUCUUCAUUAUUAAAUCAUUGAUUUAUGUUUAUUUGAUCCAUAAUUUUUGAUUAUAAGAUUAAGUUACCUUAGGGAUAACAGCGUAAUCAUUUUUGAGAGUUCUUAUUGAUAAAGUGGAUUGCGACCUCGAUGUUGGAUUAAGAUUAAUUACGGGUGUAGUGGCUUGAUAAUUAGGUCUGUUCGACCUUUAAAUUCUUACGUGAUCUGAGUUCANAACCGG
This 506-nucleotide ribosomal RNA is filed under the name Oedaleus asiaticus. RNAcentral's name for it is "partial 16S ribosomal RNA". It matches the Rfam family "Bacterial large subunit ribosomal RNA", at positions 1854 to 2620 of the family's 2925-position model. The record is from RNAcentral. Lineage: Eukaryota; Metazoa; Arthropoda; Insecta; Orthoptera; Acrididae.